UAGCAUAUCAAUAAGCGGAGGAAAAGAAACCAACAGGGAUUGCCCUAGUAACGGCGAGUGAAGCGGCAACAGCUCAAAUUUGAAAUCUGGCUUCGGCCCGAGUUGUAAUUUGUAGAGGAAGCUUUAGGCGCGGCACCUUCUGAGUCCCCUGGAACGGGGCGCCAUAGAGGGUGAGAGCCCCGUAUAGUUGGAUGCCUAGCCUGUGUAAAGCUCCUUCGACGAGUCGAGUAGUUUGGGAAUGCUGCUCAAAAUGGGAGGUAAAUUUCUUCUAAAGCUAAAUACCGGCCAGAGACCGAUAGCGCACAAGUAGAGUGAUCGAAAGAUGAAAAGCACUUUGAAAAGAGGGUUAAAUAGCACGUGAAAUUGUUGAAAGGGAAGCGCUUGUGACCAGACUUGCGCCGGGCUGAUCAUCCGGUGUUCUCACCGGUGCACUCUGCCCGGCUCAGGCCAGCAUCGGUUCUCGCGGGGGGAUAAAGGCCCAGGGAAUGUAGCUCCUCCGGGAGUGUUAUAGCCCGGGGCGCAAUGCCCUCGCGGGGACCGAGGUUCGCGCUCUGCAAGGAUGCUGGCGUAAUGGUCAUCAGCGACCCGUCUUGAAACACGGACCAAGGAGUCAAGGUUUUGCGCGAGUGUUUGGGUGUAAAACCCGCACGCGUAAUGAAAGUGAACGUAGGUGAGAGCUUCGGCGCAUCAUCGACCGAUCCUGAUGUUUUCGGAUGGAUUUGAGUAAGAGCGUUAAGCCUUGGACCCGAAAGAUGGUGAACUAUGCUUGGAUAGGGUGAAGCCAGAGGAAACUCUGGUGGAGGCUCGCAGCGGUUCUGACGUGCAAAUCGAUCGUCAAAUCUGAGCAUGGGGGCGAAAGACUAAUCGAACCAUCUAGUAGCUGGUUACCGCCGAA
This 895-nucleotide ribosomal RNA is filed under the name Amesomyces atrobrunneus. RNAcentral describes it as "LSU rRNA". It matches the Rfam family "Eukaryotic large subunit ribosomal RNA", at positions 36 to 965 of the family's 3401-position model. The record is from RNAcentral. Lineage: Eukaryota; Fungi; Ascomycota; Sordariomycetes; Sordariales; Chaetomiaceae.